UGGCGGACGGGUGAGUAAUGUCUGGGAAACUGCCUGAUGGAGGGGGAUAACUACUGGAAACGGUGGCUAAUACCGCAUAACGUCGCAAGACCAAAGAGGGGGACCUUCGGGCCUCUUGCCAUCAGAUGUGCCCAGAUGGGAUUAGCUUGUUGGUGAGGUAACGGCUCACCAAGGCGACGAUCCCUAGCUGGUCUGAGAGGAUGACCAGCCACACUGGAACUGAGACACGGUCCAGACUCCUACGGGAGGCAGCAGUGGGGAAUAUUGCACAAUGGGCGCAAGCCUGAUGCAGCCAUGCCGCGUGUAUGAAGAAGGCCUUCGGGUUGUAAAGUACUUUCAGCGGGGAGG
RNAcentral lists this ribosomal RNA (348 nucleotides) under Salmonella enterica subsp. enterica serovar Derby. RNAcentral describes it as "bacterial SSU rRNA". It matches the Rfam family "Bacterial small subunit ribosomal RNA", at positions 96 to 447 of the family's 1533-position model. Lineage: Bacteria; Pseudomonadati; Pseudomonadota; Gammaproteobacteria; Enterobacterales; Enterobacteriaceae. RNAcentral also lists the same sequence under 3 other names. The record is from RNAcentral.